AACGAACGCUGGCGGCAUGCCUAACACAUGCAAGUCGAACGAGACCUUCGGGUCUAGUGGCGCACGGGUGCGUAACGCCUGGGAACCUGCCCUUAGGUUCGCAAUAACUCCCCGAAAGGGGUGCUAAUACCGGAUAAUGUCUUCGGACCAAAGAUUUAUCGCCUUUGGAUGGGCCCGCGUUGGAUUAGCUAGUUGGUAGGGUAAAAGCCUACCAAGGCGACGAUCCAUAGCUGGUCUGAGAGGAUGAUCAGCCACACUGGGACUGAGACACGGCCCAGACUCCGACGGGGGCAGCAGUGGGGAAUCUUGGACAACGGGCGAAAGCCUGAGCCAGCAAGGCCGCGUGAGUGAUGAAGGCCUUAGGGUUGUAAAGCUCUUUUACCCGGGAUGAUAAUGACAGUACCGGGAGAAUAAGCUCCGGCUAACUCCGUG
This 432-nucleotide ribosomal RNA is filed under the name uncultured bacterium. Its description in RNAcentral is "partial 16S ribosomal RNA". It matches the Rfam family "Bacterial small subunit ribosomal RNA", at positions 29 to 507 of the family's 1533-position model. The record is from RNAcentral.